UACGGAGGGUGCAAGCGUUAUCCGGAUUCACUGGGUUUAAAGGGUGCGUAGGUGGGUCUUUAAGUCAGUGGUGAAAUCCCCGAGCUUAACUUGGGAACUGCCAUUGAUACUAUAGCUCUUGAAUACUGUGGAGGUCAGCGGAAUAUGUCAUGUAGCGGUGAAAUGCUUAGAUAUGACAUAGAACACCAAUUGCGAAGGCAGCUGGCUACACAAAUAUUGACACUGAGGCACGAAAGCGUGGGGAUCAAACAGG
Molecule: ribosomal RNA, 253 nt
Filed under: uncultured bacterium
Lineage: Bacteria
Description: partial 16S ribosomal RNA
Rfam family: Bacterial small subunit ribosomal RNA
Source: RNAcentral